This 407-nucleotide ribosomal RNA is filed under the name uncultured bacterium. RNAcentral describes it as "partial 16S ribosomal RNA". It matches the Rfam family "Bacterial small subunit ribosomal RNA", at positions 30 to 526 of the family's 1533-position model. The record is from RNAcentral.
AUUGAACGCUAGCGGGAUGCCUUACACAUGCAAGUCGAACGGAGUGGCGAACGGGUGAGUAAUGUAUAGGAACGUGCCCAGUCGCGGGGGAUAACUACGCGAAAGCGUAGCUAAUACCAAAUACUCUUGGAGCGGCAUAUAUCGGAAUAGCUAGUGGGGGGGGUAACGGCUCACCAAGGCGACGAUCCGUAGCUGGUUUGGGAGGACGACCAGCCACACUGGUACUGAGACACGGCCCAGACUCCUACGGGAGGCAGCAGUGGGGAAUUUUGGACAAUGGGGGAAACCCUGAUGCAGCCAUCCCGCGUGUGCGAUGAAGGCCUUCGGGUUGUAAAGCACUUUUGGCAGGAAAGCGGUACCUGCAGAAUAAGCACCGGCUAACUACGUGCCAGCAGCCGCGGUAAUUC